CUUUUUUUUCUUUAAAGGUUUUAUUUAUUUAUGUGAAAGAGAGCACACACGCGAGAGUGCACACGUGCUUGAGCAGGAGUGGAGUGAGCAGACUACCUGCUGAGCAGGAAGCCCAACACGGGACUCAAUCCCAGGAUCCUGGGAUCAUGACCCAAGCCAAAGGUCAGUUGCUUACCUGAGCCACCCAGACGCCCCAUAAGAACAAUUUUCAAAGGUUAAAAUGAAUAUAAAAGUUAUUUAUGAAAGAGUGCAUCUUUUAUACACACCGUAGGUUUCUGCUUGCAUACAUCCAUGCACACAUACACAUUUUCAGUAAAAGUAGUCCUCUCAGAUUUUUGGGAUGAACUUUUUAAAUCUAUCAUUUUAUUGUUGUUCAUAUGUAUUUCAGUAUUUUUGGUAAAAUGGACAUUUGGAAAUUGUAUUUAUUUUUAAUUAAGUUGUUGUCAACAUUAUUCUGUAGGAGCCUAGUUUAAAAAAAUACAAAAAUGAAAAUAGAAAACCUUGUGUUUUUCAUUAAAUAUGUGUAUGUAAAUAUAAAUAUUUUGUCCAUUUAAAUGUCCAUUUACACAUAAGCAAAGUAAGUUUAUCCAAUAAAUCAAUGCUUGAAGAUUGUAAAAUUUAUUACUGUUUUACAUUAAUUUAAUAGAUAAAAAUAGAAAAAAAUUAGGAAAGCUUUAGCUCUUUUAAGAGAUUACUGGAUAAGGCAGCUCUGGUGGCGCAGCGGUUUAGUGCCACCUGCAGCCCGGGGUGUGAUCCUGGGGACCUGUGACCAGGUCCCGCGUCGGGCUCCCUGUGUGGAGCCUGCUUCUCCCUCUGCCUGUGUCUCUGCCUCUCUCUCUCUCUCUCUCUCUCUCUCUCUCUCUGUCUCUCAUGAAUUAAAAAAAAAAAAGAUUACUGGAUAAAAAUCAUGCUGAAAAAAAUUAGAGGUAUUAUUAAGUAAGAAGAUUCCAAUAAAUAUCAUGCAUGAUUGGCAGUAAACAACAGAAGUAUUUCCACUAAAACUGAGGCUGACACAAGGGGUAUUAUGGCCAUGGCUCCUUCCAUUCACCACUGCACAAGAUGCCUGGACACUGGGAACCAUGUGGAAUACAUGUGUCGUCAUUCAGAGAAUGUUUUUAAUGAGGAUCGAAAAGAACAAGUUAUCUCUAUGUUUACUAGCAUGAAAACAACUCCAAUAUAUGUGUGCAGAAUAAAAUAUCACAAUAUAACAUUCACUGAAAACUUUUAACUAAAAUCACCUAAUGAUAGGUAAAUGCAUUUUUAUAAGACAUACACCUAAUCUUCCACAGAACAGGCAACAGUGAUUACAAAACUGGUGAGUGGGGGAUCCCUGGGUGGCUCAGCGGUUUGGCUCCUGCCUUUGGCCCAGGGCGUGAUUCUGGAGUCCGAGGAUCAAGUCCCGCAUCCGGCUCCUGGCGUGGAGCCUGCUUCUCCCUCCUUCUGUGUCUCUGCCUCUCUCUCUCUAUGUCUAUCAUAAAUAAAUAAAUAAAUCUUUAAAAAAACAAAACUGGUGAGUGAUGAGUGAGGGCAUGACAGAGAAGGAGAUGUUUUACUUCUUAGUCCAAAAUGUGUAAUACUGUUCAGAGUUUAACCUUAAAACAAAGAUAUACAUACAGCAUGUGAUGUUUAAAGUAAAAGAAGGGGGCAGCCCCGAUGGCUCAGCGGUUUAGUGCGGCCUUCAGUCCAGGGCGUGAUCCUGGAGACCCAGGAUCAAAUCUCAUGUCAGGCUCCCUGCAUGAAGCCUGCUCCUCCCUCUGCCUGCGUCUCUGCUCACCCCCACAUGAAUUAAAAAAAAAAAACAAAACAAAUAAAUAAAGCAAAAGAAGGAGCACCUGAAAAAAAAAAAAAAAAAAAGAAGGAGCACCUGGGGGGCUCAGUGGGUUAAGCAUCUGACUCUUGAUUUCAGCUCUCAGGUCUUGAUCUCAAGGCCACUGAGUUCAAGCCCCUACUGGGUUCCAUGCUGAGUGUGGAGCCUACUUUAAAGCAAAAGAAAUGUAGUAUUUUAGUAACAAUUGGUGGAAAUGGAAUUUGGUUCCAGCCACUAUUAUGCCAAAGACCUAGUUUUUUGCUUCAAUAUAAUGGCUGAAACAUUUUUACCUAAAAUGUCUGCUACACAAAAGUCCCUGAAUGAAUGAGCAUGGGGUGGUCAUGCUGUGAGUGAUGUUAAAGCAUUUACUGUUAAAACAAAUUAUACAAUGGGAACCCUGGGUGGCUCAGUGGUUGAGCAUCUGCCUUCAGCUCAGGGCGAGAUCCUGGGGUCCGGGAUGGAGUCCUGCCUCAGGCUCCCUGCGAGGACCCUGGAACUCUGCCUAUAUUUCUGCCUCUCUGUGUCUCUCAUGAAUAAAUAAAUAAAAUCUUUAAAAAAUAACCAAAUUAUACAAUAAAACAUCCUUUAUCAUUGAAAUGUUUCAGAACUUUCCAUCCUAAUCCAAAUCGGUAACAUUCUAGAGCUGGAAACAUGCUGACUCACUUGUGUAGCUUCAAAUGCCUCGCAAAAUCAGGGACAACAGGUUACCCCUUCUCAGUCUUAUUUUCCAGCUGUUCCUGCACAUUCAUGCACGUAAACAUGAAGUUCUUUUUUUUUCCUUUCCUUUUCCAAAUUUGUAUUUAAAUUCUAGUUAGUUCACAUGUACUGUAAUACUGUUAUCAGGAGUAGAAUUUAGUGAUUUACGUAUAACACCUAGUGCUCAACAGGACAAGUGCCCCCCUUAAAACCCAUCACCCACCUCCUUUCCU
RNAcentral lists this long non-coding RNA (2736 nucleotides) under Canis lupus familiaris (dog). RNAcentral's name for it is "lncRNA (ENSCAFG00845004586.1)". Lineage: Eukaryota; Metazoa; Chordata; Mammalia; Carnivora; Canidae. The record is from RNAcentral.